Molecule: ribosomal RNA, 434 nt
Filed under: uncultured bacterium
Lineage: Bacteria
Description: partial 16S ribosomal RNA
Rfam family: Bacterial small subunit ribosomal RNA
Source: RNAcentral
GCGAACGCUGGCGGCAGGCUUAACACAUGCAAGUCGAACGGGCAUAGCAAUAUGUCAGUGGCAGACGGGUGAGUAACGCGUGGGAACGUACCUUUUGGUUCGGAACAACACAGGGAAACUUGUGCUAAUACCGGAUAAGCCCUUACGGGGAAAGAUUUAUCGCCGAAAGAUCGGCCCGCGUCUGAUUAGCUAGUUGGUAGGGUAAUGGCCUACCAAGGCGACGAUCAGUAGCUGGUCUGAGAGGAUGAUCAGCCACAUUGGGACUGAGACACGGCCCAAACUCCUACGGGAGGCAGCAGUGGGGAAUAUUGGGCAAUGGGCGAAAGCCUGAUCCAGCCAUGCCGCGUGAGUGAUGAAGGCCCUAGGGUUGUAAAGCUCUUUUGUGCGGGAAGAUAAUGACGGUACCGCAAGAAUAAGCCCCGGCUAACUUCGUG